GAUGAACGCUGGCGGCGUGCCUAAUACAUGCGAGUAGAACGCUGAAGGAGGAGCUUGCUCUUCUGGAUGAGUUGCGAACGGGUGAGUAACGCGUAGGUAACCUGCCUGGUAGCGGGGGAUAACUAUUGGAAACGAUAGCUAAUACCGCAUGACAACAGUUAUUGCAUGAUAACUGUUUAAAAGGGGCAACUGCUCCACUACCAGAUGGACCUGCGUUGUAUUAGCUAGUUGGUGAGGUAACGGCUCACCAAGGCGACGAUACAUAGCCGACCUGAGAGGGUGAUCGGCCACACUGGGACUGAGACACGGCCCAGACUCCUACGGGAGGCAGCAGUAGGGAAUCUUCGGCAAUGGACGGAAGUCUGACCGAGAAACGCCGCGUGAGUGAAGAAGGUUUUCGGAUCGUAAAGCUCUGUUGUAAGAGAAGAACGAGUGUGAGAGUGGAAAGUUCACACUGUGACGGUAUCUUACCAGAAAGGGACGGCUAACUACGUG
RNAcentral lists this ribosomal RNA (495 nucleotides) under uncultured bacterium. RNAcentral's name for it is "partial 16S ribosomal RNA". It matches the Rfam family "Bacterial small subunit ribosomal RNA", at positions 28 to 507 of the family's 1533-position model. The record is from RNAcentral.